RNAcentral lists this ribosomal RNA (484 nucleotides) under uncultured bacterium. RNAcentral describes it as "partial 16S ribosomal RNA". It matches the Rfam family "Bacterial small subunit ribosomal RNA", at positions 30 to 507 of the family's 1533-position model. The record is from RNAcentral.
AUUGAACGCUGGCGGCAGGCCUAACACAUGCAAGUCGAGCGGAUGAAGGGAGCUUGCUCCUGGAUUCAGCGGCGGACGGGUGGGUAAUGCCUAGGAAUCUGCCUGGUAGUGGGGGAUAACGUCCGGAAACGGGCGCUAAUACCGCAUACGUCCUGAGGGAGAAAGUGGGGGACCUUCGGACCUCACGCUAUCAGAUGAGCCUAGGUCGGAUUAGCUAGUUGGUGGGGUAAAGGCCUACCAAGGCGACGAUCCGUAACUGGUCUGAGAGGAUGAUCAGUCACACUGGAACUGAGACACGGUCCAGACUCCUACGGGAGGCAGCAGUGGGGAAUAUUGGACAAUGGGCGAAAGCCUGAUCCAGCCAUGCCGCGUGUGUGAAGAAGGUCUUCGGAUUGUAAAGCACUUUAAGUUGGGAGGAAGGGCAGUAAGUUAAUACCUUGCUGUUUUGACGUUACCAACAGAAUAAGCACCGGCUAACUUCGUG